GAAACUGCACAAAAAAUGGAGCUGGGGGGUUCCCUGGUCCCCGAUGUUGGGGCGGGGAGCGCGGCGCCGAGGGAGGGGGCGGCGCAGACCAGCCAAGGGGACACCUGGUCGAGCGCAGCCGCCGCUCCGCUCGAGCCCUGCGCUCCAGUGCCCCCAGUGCCCCCACUGGCUGGAGAGCUCGCCCAGACCGGGGGUCUUCCUCCCUCGCUGACAGAUUCUAACUGUUAGAAGAGUACCAAUUCUGGAAAACAACCAAAGUUUCUUUGAAUGAAUGCCCACGUAAUGCAUUGGAAUAUAAUAAGAGAUUAAGGUUUAACAAUGUUAAAAUGAAGAUAUUACUAAAAUGGCCCUCUAAAUAGCCCAACAAUUAUUAUUUUCAUUAUCCUAUGAAUUUGGCUUUGAAAGGUGUGCUGCUCUUAAUAAGCUUUUCAUUCUGCUAGCCAUACUUUCUCUCCCUACUCUGGACUCUUCUAGAUGUCCCCAGCUGUGCUCUCCUUCAUAAUCUACAAACCCUCUCCUCAACCAUACUCUGGACCAGUCAUGUCCUCGUUUCAGACACUUAUUUUCUGAUUUGCACCACAGUGUUUCAAUAGCAAGGCUGAUGAUUUGAGUAUGAAAGCUGUGGGUCAGGAUGCCAGGCAGACAGAAUGGGUGACAUUCUAGUUAAAUGAUCAGACACCGACUGACAUUUACCAACUGUGUCAAAGCUACAUGAGCUAGGUAGAUACUGCUGGAACUUUAACAGGCAUCAAGCAAGUCUAUAGAAGCACUGAGCUGUGCCACUACCCAGUGUUCUUCCAGAACACACAAACUGAAGGGGGCUGGAGCCUUCCAAUGAGAACUGUUGUGUGAUUAAUCAAUGAGGCUGACUAAAGCACACACCUAUAAUCCCAGUACUCAGAGAGACAAAGAAGGACAUCAGCGCAAGGCCAACAAGGCUUCAAAGCAAGUUCCAACCAGACUGGACCAUGAGACCCUAUUUCAGAAACAAAUAAUAAAAGCUUGAUGAAGCUGCAAAAAUUACUCAUUUUAUCAAAUCCUGAUUCUUGUAUACUGAACUACACACAAAAGCACUUGUGUGGCCAGUGGGUGCGGUCAGAAAGGAGUACAGGCUCACGUGACUCAGCUACAAGCUGAGACAGCUGCUGUUAUUAGGAAAACAAUGGAAGCCAGCAGUAUGCAGAUUUAGGUAGCAGAUGAAUCUUAAAAGUGAGUAAAAUGAGCUGGGUACUUCCAGAAACACAAUACUUCUUGAUCCCGGAAAGGGAAAAGGCUGGGUUUUUAUGUUAAAAUUUGAAUUUCUGCUAUAUGUACUUAUAAUCUUCCCAUUAAAGAUGCUGAUAAAUAAUAAAGU
This 1354-nucleotide long non-coding RNA is filed under the name Mus pahari (shrew mouse). RNAcentral describes it as "lncRNA (MGP_PahariEiJ_G0012567.1)". The record is from RNAcentral. Lineage: Eukaryota; Metazoa; Chordata; Mammalia; Rodentia; Muridae.